AGCAGCCGCGGUAAUUCCAGCUCCAAUAGCGUAUAUUAAAGUUGUUGCAGUUAAAAAGCUCGUAGUUGAAUUUCGGGAUCAAUAUGUUGGUCGUGCCUCGGUACGUACUAGCUUAUUGGUUUCUCCUUUCUGAAGAACCAUGAUGUCAUUUAUUUGGUGUCGUGGGGAAUCAGGACUGUUACUUUGAAAAAAUUAGAGUGUUUAAAGCAGGCUCACGCUUGAAUACAUUAGCAUGGAAUAAUGAAAUAGGACGUUUGAUUCUAUUUUGUUGGUUUCUAGGAUCGACGUAAUGAUUAAUAGGGAUAGUUGGGGGCAUUAGUAUUCAAUUGUCAGAGGUGAAAUUCUUGGAUUUAUUGAAGACUAACUACUGCGAAAAGCAUUUGCCAAGGAUGUUUUCAUUAAUCAAGAAACGAAAAGUUAGGGGAUCGAAGACGAUCAGAUACCGUCGUAGUCUUAACCAUAAACUAUGCCGACUAGGGAUCGGAUGAUGUUGAUUUUUUU
RNAcentral lists this unclassified non-coding RNA (501 nucleotides) under uncultured Glomus. RNAcentral's name for it is "SSU rRNA". It matches the Rfam family "Eukaryotic small subunit ribosomal RNA", at positions 569 to 1073 of the family's 1831-position model. The record is from RNAcentral. Lineage: Eukaryota; Fungi; Glomeromycota; Glomeromycetes; Glomerales; Glomeraceae.